Molecule: non-coding RNA, 10733 nt
Organism: Oryctolagus cuniculus (rabbit)
Lineage: Eukaryota; Metazoa; Chordata; Mammalia; Lagomorpha; Leporidae
Source: RefSeq, a predicted model, not a curated record
UUAACUGUUACUUAUUCCACUAAUUUCUAUCUUUUGUUAAAAGAACUUUCCAGCCUAAAUCUCCUCGCUCUGUCCCAUGCUAAUUGCAGCUUACAUUAUAUAAAUGGCUUUGUAAAGAAAACUAUAACUCUGAGCCCUGAAAGUUGCGUGUUUCUAUUUGCUCAAACUUGAUGCACUUGUUUGAAGAGGGUCAUUGCAGGGAGAGCUGUGUAGCGUGUAAGAAUGUCCUGGAUAACAAGCUUAAACAGAACCUUUUGUUGUGCCUAGUAUUCUCAGGACUCCAAAAUGAGGCCUCCUUUUUCUAACUGCGGGCUGAAGUGGUUCAUUACUGCUGUUUCCUCCGCCCGGCCAGGGCUCAGCCAUUCCCACUACUGAAGGUCUGUAACUUCCUUAAAAAGGAAGAAGGAAAACAUGGCCCAGAAAGGUCUUGUUAGCACUUCCUAUGUGAAAUUAGCAGCUUUCUAAAAGGUACAACUCCAAUUACCUCACAUUGUGGAGGCGAGCACAAACUCCAGUCUGCACAGCCCAGCCAGUGACAUUCUGUCUUUCUGGAGUUACUUCCCUAAUUAGGAAUGAAGAAGCUCUAUUCUGCUGAGUGCAUCUAUUUACAGUGGCCACAAUGCUUUAACUUGAGCAUCCUUCUCAAAGACCAGUGUUAAAAAACACAAGUGCUCUUUUCGCAGAGCAGGCAAUGGUGAGGCGACACAUUCCUAACGGUUACGCCCUGGGGGGGGGGGGGGGGAGUGUCGCAGCUUUAGCAGGAUUGUUAACACUUCAGGGUUCAUUUUCCACAAUGACGCCCCUGCCCAGAGAGCUCUGGGAAUGACAGUGGACAAUGGGGAGGCCUUCUUAGGAGGGUCUAAUGAUGGAAUCAAAAGAAAAAUAUUUAUUGCUUUUGACAGUCCCACAAGGGGCACAAAUCCUUGUCGUGGCUAAAGUUCCCCUAGCUGUUGCAGGAAGGCGACUCCCAGGGACUCAAACAGUCCCACUUCCUUUGUUAGGAGGCUGAGUACCAGGGCCAAGCUGGGAAAUUAAAGAUUAAGUUCAUUAAGAACUUACGGAUGGAGUGCCAGGCAACGCCAGUGUGAAGCACGUUCACUAGAGAAAAAAGAACAAGGCAGCACGGUUGAACAUCACUGAAACUGACCCCCGAAUUCACCAGCAGUUCACGGCAGCAGCGUACAUACCUGGCAACCUAAGAGGACACCUUCUGGGAUUGCAACCAUGACGCACCCCACCCAGGUGCCAAGGGCCUGCAGCGUUGGGGUCACCUGGUUAUGUGUCGGCUGCUCCUCAUUACCUCCCACUGUGGACUCCUGGACACAGAGGCCUCAUUCUACUCACUGCUGCAUGCCCACCAUCUACGACAUUGCAGGGACGCUGGAGGGGCACAACACUGUUGAGUAACGCUUGCCCAGGAGAAGUUUUAUUCUCUGCAUCUGUCCUUCCAAACGUCUUGUGCUUUCCCUUCUCUGACUCUCCAGUCAGUGGCAGCUGCCUCCUGUCUCCAGGGCUUAACUCCCCUGGCAUAGCGUUCUUCUCCCCUGCCCCCCAAGACCCCGACGAAUCCAGAUGCUUGAGACAGCCAAGACUGAGAUGGAGUGAAGUCUCUGGAAGGCUCCUGUCGCAGCCUUGCUCACCGGCAGAACAGGAAGAGAUGUGGCCAGUGGCUCUCAGCACCCACUCUUCUUUCUUCUUUUGCCAUUUGGAUUCCUUUGCAGAGUAAGAGUCUCAGGCGUGUGGCUUUCCUCGCAGGUGGUUAGAACUGAUGGGCACUGCAGAAAAUCCAAGUGCAAGCGAGGUGAAGCCCCAAGGUCCUGCCGCCGGGGACCUUCUGUAAAAGGCGGAUGACGCCUGCCCUCCAAGUAGCCGCUUAACCACAAGAUGACCUCGACAAGGCCGGGUAAGUCUGCGGUCUGGUUACCGUGCUGCAGACCAAGGCUCGCUAAUCUUGUUAGUCCCUUCCUGGGUAACAGUGCAGGGUUCGGGGCCUGUCAGCCCCCUCCAGGAAAUCCCGCUAAGCCUGGGAUUUGAGAUCCUUAACUCAGAUGUCUUAAGCAGAGAAAUAUCCACCUUUGCGUCUGUCUCUAAAAAUUUGAUGGAUAUUUGUACUGCUGCUGUGAAUACAGGAACCAAGAGAAGUUUCCCGUCAGAUCAGGUGAACCUGGGUAAAGACUGCAGGUCUCUUAAGUUCCCGGGGCCUGUUUUCUCACCUGAUGUUGGGAUGCUAGUAAUGACCCUGCCCGCAGGAAACGGGGUGUGGGGAGAAGGGCUGUGAUGGGGAUAAAACUCUGCCCGCAAACAUUAAUGCACCCUUGGUAUGUAGACAAGCAUGAGGAAGAAGUGGUCCCUGCCUGCCCAGGGGGCUUGCGACCUCAUGGACGUCUCGUAAGUGCUACCAAGGAACUCUGCGUGGUGGAGUGCUCUGCACAGUCGAGGAAUGGAGGUGUCAUUGAAAGCAGGUGCUGGGAAACUGAUAUUGUCCUUGACCGCCGCACCAGGUGAACUAAAUCCAGACGAGGAGACUGAAGUGGCUUCCUUUAGCUAUCUUCAUAACAUCAUUCAAAAUAGGAAGCGUUUAAUAUUCCCUAACUGUCUGAAGAAUCUGCAAGCCCGUGCUGGCAUGUUCGCAUCACAUGUCUCUAACUCUCCUCUGGUCUACAAGGAGCCCUGCGGUUGAAAGUGUCAGUAACAGUAAGUGACACCAUUGUGUCCACUUCACAGUCGGGCCAUCUGAGGCCAGGGGUGAAGGAAAGGUGGUAGCCUGGGAAGGGAGGCCCAGAGGGAAAUCCUCACUUUCCAGGCCAGCACUCUGCCUCACAAGACGACAUCCUCUCUUUGCACUCCUCCUUUCAAUCUGCAGAGAUGAGAAAGGCCCAUAGCUCUAUUAAUUUGCUGUUAUUUUGCAUUUGCUCCUCCCUCUUCUUUACUCUGCUUUUUCUUUUUUCUUUCUUUUUUAAAUAUUUUUUUAUUUGAAAGGUAGAGUUACAGAGAGAGAGAAGGAGAGGCAGAGAGAGAGAGGUCUUCCAUCCGCUGGUUCACUCCCCAACUGGCCGCGAUGGCUGGAGCUGCACCAAUCUGAAGCCAGGAGCCAGGAGCUUCUUCCAGUCUCCCACAUGGGUGCAGGGACCCAAGGAUUUGGGCCAUCUUCUACUGCCUUCCCAGGCCACAGCAGAGAUCUGGGGAGCAGCUGGGACUCGAACCGGUGCCCAUAUGGAAUGCCAGCACACACAGGCAGCUUGACCCGCUCUGCCACAGCACCAGCCCCUCUGCUUUUUCUUGACAUUCAGGCAACUCCUUCAUAUUCAGGUCUCAGCCCAGACGUCAGCUGCUCAGAGAGCCUUUGUUGGCUCUGGAGCCUCCCCAGUUCCUCUCUGUCAAAUCAUUCUGUUUCGUUGUCUCCAUAGCACCUGCUGCCACCUACAGUUAUCUAGACCGUCUGUGUGUGUUGUCAUCUUCUCCCAUUAAAAUGCAACCUCCCUGGGAAGACGACUUGGCCUCAUUCGCUGUUGUAUACACUGUGCCUAGAACUGCAACUGGCACAUAGUAGGUGCUCAAUAAAAGUGUGUUGGGCUCUUGGAGAUCUGUGUCUCUGGCUGAUGGGAAGGCUGAUGGAGAGAAGGGAAAUGUGUGUUCCAGCUCCCACAGCGAGGCAAGCCAGCUGCCGGCUGCGGACCUCAGCUCUCUUGCCUGUAAAAUCGGACACCUGCGCCCACGAGAGGAUCCGAGAAAAGAGGUGCUGAGGACCAAACGAGAAGAUAGUGGCAAAAGUACUUUGACAAGUGAAAAUGCGAGUUAAGUGGGAGAUGUUAUUAUCUUCUGCCAUCUGCUUGACUUUAAUCUUUUUUUCCUCGGUAAGCGGACCUAUUGAUUGUAGCUUGCUGGAGGAAGCUCUCACUGUCUAAUUACUGCCCUGGCUCAGCCUGUCACAGUGUCCUCUGCAGUCAGCACGUCCUGACACUGACCCCUCAUGCCACAGCCAUUUGCAGAGCAGCCACCCGGGCACUCUGUGCCCAGCACAAGGGGAGCAGGGCUCCGGGGCUGCAGGAGGGCACUGCUGGGGAGAAGCCGAGGCUCAGGCACAGUGGCGGCAGUGCGUUGGCCCCUGCGGCCAGUGUCCCCCGGCUGGACAGUGUUUUUAGCAUUUCAGACUGCGGUUCCCAGGAGAGCGAUCCUGCAGGUGUUUUCUGGCCUGUGAUGUGAUGGGGGAGGGAGAAGAGGUUGUGAAGAAGUCAUUCCUAAGCGUUUGCCAGGCACUACGAAUUCCUUUCCCCAGGAGCUGGGAAGCUUCAGCAUGUCCAGGGUAUUGUUCUCCGCGUUGCCUCACAAGACCUCACAGCCUCCCUGGGAGCACUGCCCCUUUCUACGAGAGGAGGACGUAUGGUCGUUUAGAGCUGAGGACGGUGACUUGUGCAAGGGAAUUCGAACCCACGUCCCCUACCUCUCAGUCUACACUGGCAGCCUCCCUCCUCACAGGGCUGGCCCAAGCCAGGCCACAUAUAGCUUGAAUUGAAAAUGCUCUUUGGCAAAAAAAAUUCCCAGAAGGCAUCAGGACUUUUAAAAGUAUCUCAAAGGGACAAAUGCAGGCCCGUGUUUGGCACAGUGGUUGAACCACCUCUUGGACACCCACAUCCCAUCUCAGAGUACCUGGUUCAAGUCCUGGCUGCUCCACUUCUGAUCCAGGUUCCUGCUAAUGUGCACCCUGGGAGGCAGCAAGUGGUGGCUCAAGUCAGUGGGUCCCUGCCACCCAGGUGGAGACCUGGCCCAGCUCUGGCUCUUCAUUCCCAAUUUGCUUACAAGAUUUCUCUCUCUUUCAAAUAAAAGUAAAAAUAAAUAAAUAAAAUUUUGAAGCAAAAUAAAAAAGGAAUACUUUUUUGGCCAGCAAAGGAAAUGAGAGUGUGCUUGAAAAUGCAUUUCCAUUUAUGUCUGUCAUUUAGAAGGAAGAAAAAGGAUCCAUCAGCAUCAUCUGAUUAGAUGAGGCUUUUUAAAAAUUAUUAAAUAAACCAGUUUUGUCUUGGCUUCAACCUGCCAGGGAAUAAUUGGAUCAGGCAACCCCUAGGCUAUGAAACUGCCAAAGAGAAGUUGGUUGGCAAAAGCUUGUUGAACGAAUAGAUGAAUGUCAGCCUGGCUUGUAAACACCCUGUUCUCACUUUCUUCACUCAUCAUAAUGAAGAUCAUUGGCCACAGAGUCAUAAAAUUCUCUAAUGUUGGUAUGCUGCUUUGCUUUUUAGCUUGAAAGAUCUUUCUUGGCAGAAUCUCAAGUGAUCCUCAAAUAACCCUCAGAAGCACGCAGUUGUGUAGGGGAGGAGACUGGGGGAUCAAUUGAUUGCCCAGGUUCAGAUGAAACAGUGUUGGGUGUGUUUUGUAACAUUCUGAUGAUUUUUUAGAAAGAAACAAAGGAAUAUUCAGAAUCCAAAAUCAGAUGAAAAUGAAAAUCCAAAGAAAGAACUGGAGCGCUAAAUUUGGCCUUGGCCUUGAGGUAUUUGCCAAGUCAGACAAACUUUGGUUUCAGUUUUCGUGAUUCACAGGCCAGAGGAAAAGGAGAAAGACCCUAGAGCUUACCCAAGGUAGAGAUACAGUAGAAAUCCCUAUGCAUGAAGCUGGCAUCCAAAAUUACUGUGACAUCAGUGUAAAGGUGAGUGAGAAAUAAAACAGAUUCCAUUCUAACUACAAGUACAAGCACAUGCAUCCAACUUGGACACUAAACAGAAGGGGAGAAUUAUGCCGAGAGCUUGUAAUCAUAAACCAGCCCUUCAUGGGUUUGCACCUUAAUUUCAUACUCCCUGAGGAGGGAGGGCGUCCAAGAACCCUCAAAUUAAACAUUUGAGAAAGUGAAUCUGAAUUAACAGUGGCCCCAGGGACUUAAAGAAUAAGAAGAUAUCUCUGUGAAGGAACUUAAAGCCAAAUGUCAAAGAAUUCCCAUAGAUAAACUUGAAAAGAUGUAAACUCACGGGCCAGUGCCAUGGCAUAGCAGGUAAAGCUGCCGCCUGUGGUGCUAACAUCCCGUAUGGGAACCUGUUCAAGUCCUGGCUGCUCCAUUCUGAUCCAGCUCUCUGCUAUGGCCUGGGAGAGCAGUGGAGGAUGGCCCAAGGGUUUGGACCCCUGCGUGGGAGACCCAGAGGAAUCUCCUGUCUCCUGGCUUUGGAUCGACGCAGUUCCGACCAUUGCAGCCAUCUGAGGAGUGAACCGGCAGUUGGAAGACCUCUCUCUCUGUCUCUCUCUCUCUAUCUAUCUUUCUUCCUAUCUAUCUAUCUAUCUAUCUAUCUAUCUACCUACCUACCUAUCUAUCUCUGCCUCUACCUCUGCCUCUCUGUAGCUCUGCCUUUCAAAUAAAUAAAACAAUCUUUUAGAAAAAUACAUCUGAGGAAAUAAAGAAAAACAUUAAAAGAAGACAAAGAAGUAACAAACUAGAGAAAUGCCCAAGCAGAUUGGAAAAGGAUUGAAGAAGAACUUUUCAUCAGUAACAAAAUAUAUGUAAUCACUGAAUGAAAAACUAUACCUGGCUUCAACAGGUUACACAUUGCUGAAAGUACAGUGACCUAGAAUGUAGAUCUGAAAAACAUAUCCAGAAUGCAUCUCAGAAAGACAAAGAGAAGAAAAAGUAGAAGAAAUGCUAAGAGACAGGUAGGGAAAGGUGAACAUGUCUUCCUUGAGUCCCAGGUGAAUUAUAGCAAACGGGAGAAGCAGAGAGCAGGAGCAGUAUUUGAAAAACAAGAAUUUUCCACAGAUUCCCAAAGCUCCCCAAAUCAAGAAGGACAAAUAAAAGAUAAAACUAGAUGGCAGAGUAGGCCCAUGGCUAGUAUGACCUACAGAGAUAUUUGGGACCCCAGCUUUGUUCUAAUUCUGUAUCACAGGUUUAGGACCACGUGAGGCGUGUUUAGUGAGGAUCAUGUUCAUGCACAAGAAAACUAUAUUACAUUCUACUGCACUAGACAUCCAUUCUACAUGUUGUGCCAAAGACUAUAGCUAUGAUCAGUCUUAGAAGGGGAAGAUCUUUCUUAUAGAAAGUUGGAUGUGAUCCUUGUUCACUUUGGACUUGCCAUCUACAACCAAGUACAGACCGUCCCUGAUUUAUGAUGGUUUGACUUAGAACUUUUUGACUUUUCAAACAUGCAAAAGUGCUGUUCAUUCAAUAGAAACUAUACUUCAAAUUUUGAAUGUUGAUCCUGUCCCCUGCAGUAGAAUACCUUUGUGUGAUGCUGGGCGGCGCAGUAAGCCCCUGAGGCCUGUCUGUGAAGCUGUCGUAACUGUAAGCAUCGCAUACUCCACAGGGCACUGUGGGGCUCAGCGUGGAUGCUCACAAGGGUUGGUGUAUUAAAUGCAGUUUUUACUUACACUGACAGUUUAUCAAGAUGUAACCCCACUGUAAGUUUGACCAUCUGGACUCCUUUGUGGAAACUUGGUUCCAGAAGCUUUUAUCUGUCCCUCUUUGUCUCUGCUCAGUAUUCUCACAGUGCUCACUCCCACUUGUAUUACUGAGAUAAGCAAACCUCUUCUGAAUUAUCCAAGUGGUGUCCGUGUCUAGGUUUUCCAUCAGUCUGAACCUACUAUUAACGUUUACCAGUGCACUCACCCAACAUAUCACGCUGCAGAACACAAAAGACAAAGACAUAUCUAAGGAACAGUCAGAAAAAAAUAUUAUUUCCAAAGGACUAAUCAUUGGUGCAGCAACUGGUUUCCCAAAUACCAACAAUAGAAACCAGAAGAUGGUAGGGAAAAUAUAUCUUCAAUGUGCUGAAAUAAAAUACUUAGCAACCUAAAAAUCUAUGCUUAGGAAAAAAAAAUACAUCUCAAUGCAUUUUCAGACAAACUGACUUUUGUAUCAGCAGACUUUCACAAAAGACAAUUAGAAGAUUCUGAACAGAGACAGGCAUUUUAGCCUAGUGGUUAAGUUGCAGGUUAAUAUGCCCACAUCCCACGUCAGAGCACUGGGUUCAGUCCCUGGCUCCAGCUCCUGAUUUCAGCUUCCUGUUAAUGCACACCCUGGGGGGCAGUGGUGGUGACUCAAGUACCUGGGUUCCUGUCACCAAGUGAGAGACCUGAGUGACUUCCCGGCUCCUAGUUGCAGGCGCAUGGGACAUGAAUCAGCAGAUGGGAGCACUUGCACUCCCUCUGCCUUUCAAAUAAAUUUUUAAAAUAAAAUUCUGUAUUUCAGCAAUUGUGAGACACAGACAAAACAGGGCUUAGAUGGAAACUUCUAACUUUAAAUUAUCAGAGCAAAUGAGGAAAUAAAGACCAACAAUCAGUGAGACAGGCAUCUGACUUAAGAAGGUGGGCGCUAUCCCAGGUGCUUCAAGAACUAUAGAUUACGUGGCCAAGACCAAGAGCCAUCCCCUACACAGUCCUGAAGAUAGCACAGAAGUGGCACCAGGAAGCCUAUAUCUCAAAGACAUGGGUCUCUUCAGGGAGUGAACCCCAAGGUGCUGGGAGCAUGCAUUUUGCCAAGAAGCACAAGGACAUGAAGGAAAUACAGGCCAACAGUGCUGAGGCCGUGAGUGCACCAAGGUGGCCAAGGUCCUCAUCAAGGCCAAAUCACAAAGUGGGUCACCCCAAGCUCAAUCAGCCUGCCCACAUCAUCCACCCCAAGCUCAGGAAGCAUGUUCAUGUCCACAUUGCCAAGAGUCUUGGGCUCUGGUGGCCAAAGACCAAAGCCAGGUUUAAGCCAGGCCCAGGGCCUGGCUCAAGCUCUGGCUCCAGUUCUUACUGGUACCAGGCCCCUAUGAAGGAUCCAUAGUAAAGGCCUCUGUCUAGCAAUGGAAAGACAGAAGGAUGGGCGCUGUUGUCCUUCUGUGCCAUUUGUACAAAUAAACCUGAGAUGGGAGAAGGAAAGAAGGUAGGCAGGGGCCGGCUCUGUGGCAUAGCAGGUGAAGCCACCACCUACAGUGCCGGCAUCCCAUGUAGGCCCUGGUUCAAGUUCCAGCUGCUUCACUUCCAACCCAGCUCUCUGCUAUGGCCUGGGAAAGCAGUAGAUGGCCCAAGUUUUUGGAACAUUGCACCUGUGUGGGAGACCCGGAAGAAGCUCCUGACUCCUGGCUUCGGAUCAGCACAGCUCCGGCCAUUGCUGCCAUUUGGGGAGUGAACCAAUUGAUGGAAGACCUCUCUCUCUCUCUCUCUCUCUCUCUCUCUCCCUGUCUGUCUCCCUAACUCUGCCUUUAAAAUAAAUAAAUAAAUCUUUAAAAAAAAAAAAAAAAGAGAGAGAGAAGUAGAAGGUAAGCAGAGCCAAGGAUCUAACUUCAGCCUGACUCCUUGCCACAACCCAAGACAAGUAUCUGAGUGAAUUGGAUCUAGGAGCACUUAGAGUAGCAAUGAAAUGAUUAGAGACCACACAGCAAGAAAGGACCCUGUGUGUUCACGUUCCCUGAGAUUUGGGUUUUGGGAGUUGGUUUGGAAAGAUGGACAUGAGGGCAAAACUAACUUGCUCUUUCCCUAGGGGCAAAGAGCCUAGGGGUUGGGGUCUGUGUCCAGACCUCUUUCGGCCCAGUGUCCCACUCUGCUGGAGUCGGCAGAGGCCAUGGAAAUGAGCCCAAAGAGCACUCACUAAGCACAGAAUACAAAAUACAAAAACAAACAAGGUUCAGUCCCCAAGGGGUCAGGAGUUCCUUUAAAAGAGAGAGAGAUUUUAUUUUAUUUAUUUGAAAGGCAGAGUUACACAGAGAGAAGAGACAGAGUUCUUCCAUCUGCUGGUUCAUUCCCCAAAUGGCCACAAUGGCCAGCUCUGGGCCAAGCCAAAGCCAGGAGCCAAGAACUUCUUCCAGGUCUCCCACAUGGGUGCAGGGGCCCAAGCACUUGGGCCAUCCUCUGCUGCUCUCUCAGGCACAUUAGCAAGAAGCUGAAUUAGAAGUGGAGCAGCCAGGACUCGAACUGGCACCUAUAUGGGAUGCUGGCACUGCAGGCUUUUCCCACUAUGCCACAAUGCCAGCCCCUAGAGUCCCUUUUUGAGGUAAGAAUUGAACAGCCAGGGGGCUGGCGCUGUGGCAUAAUGGGUAAGGCCACUACCUGUGGUGCCUGCAUCCCAUAUGGGUACUGGUUCGAGUCCCUGCUGCUCCACUUCUGAUCCAGCUCCCUUCUAAUGCACCUAGGAAAACAGUGGAAUAUGGUCCUAGUGCUUGGGCCCCUACACCCACAUGAGAGACACGGAUGAAGCUCCUGGCUCCUGGCUCCUGGCUCCUGGCUUCAGCCUGGCCCAGCUUGGUAGCUGUGGCCAUUUGGGGAGUGAACCAAUGGAUGGAAAACACCUCUCUCACUCACUUGCUCACUCUCUCUCCCUCUCUCUAUAAUUCUGCCUUUCAAAUAAAAUAAGCAUAUCUUUAUAAAAAAAAAAAAAAAAAGAAUUGAACCGCCAGGAAGCUAACAUGUCUUCACUGCUCAGGAAAACUUCUACUUCUGGUCCCGUCUGAAGUGUGUGUAGGGGAUGGUGUUGUGGCACAGAGGGUUAAGCCUCUGCCUGCAGUGCUGGCAUCUCAGAGUGGACACCAGUUCAAGUUUUGACUGCACUGCUUCCUAUCUAGCUCCCUGCUAAUGUGCCUGGGAAGGCAGAGGAAGAAAGCCCAACUGCUUGGACCCCUGCACCCACCUGGGAGACCAGGAUGGAGUUCCAGGCUCCUGAUUUCAGGCUAGCCUAAACCAGGAGGUUACAACCAUUUAGAGAGUAAACCAGGAGAAGAAAUCUCUCUCUCUCUCUCUCUCUCUCUCUCUCUCUCUCUCCCUCUCUCUCUCAUUCUCUCUCUCCCUCU